AACACAUGCAAGUCGAGCGGUAGCACGGUUGAGUAGCAAUACUUGAUGGGUGACGAGCGGCGGACGGGUGAGGAAGACGUAGGAACUUGCCCUUUAGAGGGGGAUAACCAAGGGAAACUUUGGCUAAUACCGCAUGAACUCGGAUGAGUAAAGGUGCCACAGUAAUGUGGUAUCGCUAAAGGAGAGGCCUGCGCCCGAUUAGCUAGUUGGUGAGGUAAGAGCUCACCAAGGCGAGGAUCGGUAACUGGUCUGAGAGGACGACCAGUCACACUGGGACUGAGACACGGCCCAGACUCCUACGGGAGGCAGCAGUGGGGAAUAUUGGACAAUGGGGAAACCCUGAUCCAGCGAUGCCGCGUGGGUGAAGAAGGCCUUCGGGUUGUAAAGCCCUUUAGGUUGGGACGAAGAGUGCUUGGUGAAUAGCCAAGCAUUUUGACGGUACCGACAGAAUAAGCACCGGCAAACUCUGUGCCAGCCGCCGCAGUAA
RNAcentral lists this ribosomal RNA (487 nucleotides) under uncultured bacterium. Its description in RNAcentral is "partial 16S ribosomal RNA". It matches the Rfam family "Bacterial small subunit ribosomal RNA", at positions 50 to 523 of the family's 1533-position model. The record is from RNAcentral.